GACGAACGCUGGCGGCGUGCCUAAUACAUGCAAGUAGAACGCUGAAGGAGGAGCUUGCUUCUCUGGAUGAGUUGCGAACGGGUGAGUAACGCGUAGGUAACCUGCCUGGUAGCGGGGGAUAACUAUUGGAAACGAUAGCUAAUACCGCAUAAGAGUAGAUGUUGCAUGACAUUUGCUUAAAAGGUGCAAUUGCAUCACGACCAGAUGGACCUGCGUUGUAUUAGCUAGUUGGUGGGGUAACGGCUUACCAAGGCGACGAUACAUAGCCGACCUGAGGGGGUGCUGAGGCACGCUGGGACUGAGACACGGCCCAGACUUCUGCGGGAGGCAGCAGUAGGGAAUCUUCGGCAAUGGACGGAAGUCUGACCGAGCAACGCCGCGUGAGUGAAGAAGGUUUUCGGAUCGUAAAGCUCUGUUGUAAGAGAAGAACGAGUGUGGGAGUGGAAAGUUCACACUGUGACGGUAUCUUACCAGAAAGGGACGGCUAACUACGUG
Molecule: ribosomal RNA, 495 nt
Filed under: uncultured bacterium
Lineage: Bacteria
Description: partial 16S ribosomal RNA
Rfam family: Bacterial small subunit ribosomal RNA
Source: RNAcentral